UACGAGGGGGGCAAGCGUUGUUCGGAAUUAUUGGGCGUAAAGGGCGCGUAGGCGGUUUGACAAGUCUGAUGUGAAAUCUCUGGGCUCAACCCAGAGUCUGCAUUAGAAACUGUCGGGCUUGAGUAUGGGAGAGGUGAGUGGAAUUGCGAGUGUAGAGGUGAAAUUCGUAGAUAUUCGCAAGAACACCAGUGGCGAAGGCGGCUCACUGGCCCGGAACUGACGCUGAGACGCGAAAGCGUGGGGAGCAAACAG
Molecule: ribosomal RNA, 252 nt
Filed under: uncultured bacterium
Lineage: Bacteria
Description: partial 16S ribosomal RNA
Rfam family: Bacterial small subunit ribosomal RNA
Source: RNAcentral